Molecule: ribosomal RNA, 451 nt
Filed under: uncultured organism
Description: partial 16S ribosomal RNA
Rfam family: Bacterial small subunit ribosomal RNA
Source: RNAcentral
CGUACACUCCUACGGGAGGCAGCAGUGGGGAAUAUUGGACAAUGGGCGCAAGCCUGAUCCAGCCAUGCCGCGUGAGUGAUGAAGGCCCUAGGGUUGUAAAGCUCUUUCACCGGUGAAGAUAAUGACGGUAACCGGAGAAGAAGCCCCGGCUAACUUCGUGCCAGCAGCCGCGGUAAUACGAAGGGGGCUAGCGUUGUUCGGAUUUACUGGGCGUAAAGCGCACGUAGGCGGACUAUUAAGUCAGGGGUGAAAUCCCGGGGCUUAACCCCGGAACUGCCUUUGAUACUGGUAGUCUUGAGUUCGAGAGAGGUGAGUGGAAUUCCGAGUGUAGAGGUGAAAUUCGUAGAUAUUCGGAGGAACACCAGUGGCGAAGGCGGCUCACUGGCUCGAUACUGACGCUGAGGUGCGAAAGCGUGGGGAGCAAACAGGAUUAGAAACCCCUGUAGUCCCA